This 306-nucleotide ribosomal RNA is filed under the name uncultured bacterium. Its description in RNAcentral is "partial 16S ribosomal RNA". It matches the Rfam family "Bacterial small subunit ribosomal RNA", at positions 507 to 807 of the family's 1533-position model. The record is from RNAcentral.
GACAGCAGCAGCCGCGGGAAUACGUAGGUGGCAAGCGUUGUCCGGAUUUAUUGGGCGUAAAGCGAGCGCAGGCGGUUUCUUAAGUCUGAUGUGAAAGCCCCCGGCUCAACCGGGGAGGGUCAUUGGAAACUGGGAAACUUGAGUGCAGAAGAGGAGAGUGGAAUUCCAUGUGUAGCGGUGAAAUGCGUAGAUAUAUGGAGGAACACCAGUGGCGAAGGCGGCUCUCUGGUCUGUAACUGACGCUGAGGCUCGAAAGCGUGUGGAGCAAACAGGAUUAGAUACCCCUGUAGUCCCUGUCUCUUAUAC